GAUGAACGCUAGCUACAGGCUUAACACAUGCAAGUCGAGGGGCAGCACUAGGUAGCAAUACUGAGGUGGCGACCGGCGCACGGGUGCGUAACGCGUAUCCAACCUUCCCGAUACUCUUGGAUAGCCUUCCGAAAGGGAGAUUAAUACAAGAUGGUGUUUCAAUUCCGCAUGUUAUUGAAACUAAAGAUUUAUCGGUAUCGGAUGGGGAUGCGUGACAUUAGAUAGUAGGCGGGGUAACGGCCCACCUAGUCUACGAUGUCUAGGGGUUCUGAGAGGAAGGUCCCCCACACUGGAACUGAGACACGGUCCAGACUCCUACGGGAGGCAGCAGUGAGGAAUAUUGGUCAAUGGUCGGAAGACUGAACCAGCCAAGUAGCGUGAAGGAUGAAGGUUCUAUGGAUUGUAAACUUCUUUUAUACGGGAAUAAAACCACCUACGUGUAGGUGCUUGUAUGUACCGUAUGAAUAAGCAUCGGCUAACUCCGUG
Molecule: ribosomal RNA, 486 nt
Filed under: uncultured bacterium
Lineage: Bacteria
Description: bacterial SSU rRNA
Rfam family: Bacterial small subunit ribosomal RNA
Source: RNAcentral